Molecule: long non-coding RNA, 357 nt
Organism: Nematostella vectensis (starlet sea anemone)
Lineage: Eukaryota; Metazoa; Cnidaria; Anthozoa; Actiniaria; Edwardsiidae
Exons: 2
Source: RefSeq, a predicted model, not a curated record
ACUUGAAUGGCUUUUAUUCAACUGACAAUCGCCAUGAAAAUGUUAAAUUCGUAAAUACUUACUUACAAGUUCUAUAAAUUCAGGCGUAUAUUCCUCACGGUUAAACCAACCAAGGACUACCUGAGGGUCAUGCUUGAUGCUAAAGGCUGGAAGACAUAAGAAUAGGCAAAUGUAGCCGGGCUUUCUUACUUUGAUACAGCAGUAUAAGUGUAACAGGGUUUUUAGAGCAAGAUACUUUGUGUCAAUGAUACUGUAAAUCUGUAAAACAUUUUUUAUCAACCUGAAGAUAAUGAGGAAAAGGGAAAUGAUAGGAGAGUGCUCAAUCAAGUUGUUGCAAUAGUGUUAAAGUUUUUAUUA